AAAAGAUGGGACGACAUAUCCUUUUUUUUCCCCAAGUUUAAUCUUUGCUAGUCAUCCGUUGUUUUGUCAUGCUAUUUUUUCUGAAAAUGCUGACAACUUAAGGCAUUUAACGCUAGUGUAAUGAAGUUAUCUACAUAUAUACUACAUAAAUUUUGACGAGCAUGAGUUUCUUGAACUAUAUUUUCGCUUUUAUCAUUUUGGAUAAUUUUUAUGUAAUUCUUAUUCUUUGUCAUGUUUUGAACUAUAUUUUCUCUUUUAUCAUUUUGGAUAAUUUUUUUUGUAAUUCUUAUUCUUUGUCAUGUUUCCUUAUAGAUGGCAACAAGCCAAAGCACUUCCGGGUGUUAAUCGUCUUAUGAAACAUCUUCGUAAGCAUGGAGUGCCGUUUGCCCUUGCUUCAAACUCUAUAACGAAAAAUAUUGAUGUUAAAAUUUCUCACCAUGAAGGUUGUGAUGUUCUUUAUCACUUUCUUACUAUAUUGGCCGAAAUCAUCCAUUCUUUGCAUCAUGAUUCUUUUAUGAUCAUCAUGUAGAAGUUCCAUCAUUAUUGCUUCAUUUGAUUAUUCAUGAACCCUUUUUUCGUAGUCAGUUCUCUGCUUUCUACAUUUUCCAGUAUGUAUAGUUUACUAAAUAGUCUGGCUACUGGUAAUAAUUUCACAACUACAACCACUGGCUUUUGUUUUCUAAGACUUAAUUAACGCGACUACUUUCCAAGACUGUUCUUGAAUAUUGACUCUUGAUUAUUUUUGUAACAUUGCUCUGUUCAGGUUUACCUUUCUCCUUUUAUCUUUCUUAAUUUCCAGCACACUAAAUUCAAAUUUCUCAUGCAUCAUGUUGUGUUUGAAUGGCCUCAUAAUUACAAAAUUUCUUGUUAAGCGUAGUCCUUCUUGCUUGCAAAAUAUGCAUAGUGCAUCUCAAGUCACACCUUCUCUCAGCGUCAUAUUCAAGUUCCCCCCCUUUUGUGUUCAUAGGUUGGAAAGAAAACUUCACAACAAUUCUUGGAAGUGACCAAGUCAAGUCAGGGAAACCCUCCCCAGAUAUGUAAGAUAAUGAUUAUUUUUUCCUCUUCACUAUGCCUUGGAGCUUUU
This 1084-nucleotide long non-coding RNA is filed under the name Olea europaea subsp. europaea. Lineage: Eukaryota; Viridiplantae; Streptophyta; Magnoliopsida; Lamiales; Oleaceae. The record is from RNAcentral.